AUUGAACGCUGGCGGCAUGCCUUACACAUGCAAGUCGAACGGCAGCACGGGAGCUUGCUCCUGGUGGCGAGUGGCGAACGGGCGAGUAAUACAUCGGAACGUACCCUGAAGUGGGGGGAUAACGUAGCGAAAGUUACGCUAAUACCGCAUAUUCUGUGAGCAGGAAAGAGGGGGAUCGCAAGACCUCUUGCUUUAGGAGCGGCCGAUGUCGGAUUAGCUAGUUGGUGAGGUAAAGGCUCACCAAGGCGACGAUCCGUAGCGGGUCUGAGAGGAUGAUCCGCCACACUGGGACUGAGACACGGCCCAGACUCCUACGGGAGGCAGCAGUGGGGAAUUUUGGACAAUGGGCGCAAGCCUGAUCCAGCCAUGCCGCGUGAGUGAAGAAGACC
This 389-nucleotide ribosomal RNA is filed under the name uncultured bacterium. RNAcentral describes it as "bacterial SSU rRNA". It matches the Rfam family "Bacterial small subunit ribosomal RNA", at positions 30 to 416 of the family's 1533-position model. The record is from RNAcentral.